RNAcentral lists this long non-coding RNA (233 nucleotides) under Nicotiana benthamiana. RNAcentral's name for it is "long non-coding RNA (NBEN_LNC015838)". The record is from RNAcentral. Lineage: Eukaryota; Viridiplantae; Streptophyta; Magnoliopsida; Solanales; Solanaceae.
UUCUUCAUCUACUUCUGUAUGUGCUUUGUCUGAUUUUUGUAAUGAUGACAAUGUGUCUGACAGCAAAGAUGUUGCCUUGCCUCCAAUUGUAAAUAUUCCAUUUGUAAUAAUGGUGUUACCACUGAUAUGAAUUACAUUUGGCAUUUAAGACUAGCACAUACUUCAUUUGUAAAUAUGAGACAUAUUUCUGGUUUGUCUUUUCCAUUUGCUUCUAAACAACCUUUUCCUUGUUC